UACGGAGGGUGCAAGCGUUAUCCGGAUUCACUGGGUUUAAAGGGUGCGUAGGUGGGCAAGUAAGUCAGUGGUGAAAUCUCCAGGCUUAACUUGGAAACUGCCAUUGAUACUAUCACUCUUGAAUACCGUGGAGGUCAGCGGAAUAUGUCAUGUAGCGGUGAAAUGCUUAGAUAUGACAUAGAACACCAAUUGCGAAGGCAGCUGGCUACACGAAUAUUGACACUGAUGCACGAAAGCGUGGGGAUCAAACAGG
RNAcentral lists this ribosomal RNA (253 nucleotides) under uncultured bacterium. Its description in RNAcentral is "partial 16S ribosomal RNA". It matches the Rfam family "Bacterial small subunit ribosomal RNA", at positions 524 to 776 of the family's 1533-position model. The record is from RNAcentral.